Molossus molossus (Pallas's mastiff bat) is the source of this 138-nucleotide small nucleolar RNA. RefSeq annotates it as small nucleolar RNA SNORA1. The record is from RefSeq and is a predicted model, not a curated record. NCBI's taxonomy places the organism in Eukaryota, Metazoa, Chordata, Mammalia, Chiroptera, Molossidae. The transcript has a single exon.
AGCCUCAUUCUAGAUUAAAACAGGCACUAUUUUUGUACAUGGUGUCCAGAAAUUGUUAAUGUGGCUACAUUGAGACACAGGUUAUGCUUCCAUCACGGUACUUUUAUUGCAGUGGUGACAAUGAGACCUGUGACACUU